RNAcentral lists this long non-coding RNA (967 nucleotides) under Malus domestica (apple). RNAcentral's name for it is "long non-coding RNA (MDOM_LNC014504)". Lineage: Eukaryota; Viridiplantae; Streptophyta; Magnoliopsida; Rosales; Rosaceae. The record is from RNAcentral.
AAGGAAAAAUAUUUUAUUCUAAAAUGAAACAAAAAUAUACAAUACAAUUAAAAAAAGGCGAAUUGGCGUAUGAGUUAUGGCAUAUGUGCAGGCUUGUUUGAAAAAUAUGUAAUAUCCACUUUUUUAGAUUUGUUAUAUUAGAUGUUAGAUUAAAAAUCAACAGAGUUUGAACCCACAUCAUGAUGCAAGGAUACAACCAAUAAGAAAAACCAAUUAAAAUUGCAAACAAUGACUUCUCAUUACAUCCCAAACCUUGGAGAUGUUAAAAUUACUUAUAGGUGAAAUUAUUGAUCGUAACCAAAAAGUCAUUGUUCUCAUCUAAUGCGGGAUACAAUGAAAACAAUGGCUUCUUGGUUGUAUCUUUUGUGGAUUAAAUGUCUCUACAAACAAUGACUUCAUGGAUGCCUAUUCCGAAUACAACCAAAUAACAAUGUUUAAACUAAACAUGAAAACAACAUCCUUCGUCAUCCAUCGAGGUACUUAGUGAAAGUCAUACCUAACAAGUCGCUACUGGUGCAGUAUGCCUCUGUUAUUCAAUGAUGCCCUCAUGGGCCCCUAUUAUAUAUGUUUGUUAAAUGAAUUAUUGCCAGAUGACGUAACCUUGGUGACGUGACUCUGUUAUUGGUUGUGGUCACUAGCCAAAGGUUAAGAAGGAUUCAUCUUACCAGUUACUAAUCUCACAUAAGUGGGAUUAAAAAUACCAAAACAGUUUUUAAAAUAUCAGCACAUUAAAAUUUUCAUAAUAGUUAAUUUCUAAGUGUGAAAAAUAGUAAAAAAAAACAUAUGCAAACGUAAAAUUGUGUUUGAUAAAUGAAAAAUAAAAGUGUUGUGUUUUUUUCAAAAUCAUGGGUGUAAAAUAACAAAAAGCAAAAGCAGCUCUACUCUUGCUUCUAAAAAAACAUUUUUUUAUAAGAGGCAAGUCAACAAUUUCAAUUAAUAAAAUUGUCAUAUUGACAAUCCUACCCUC